Molecule: transfer RNA, 87 nt
Filed under: Clostridia bacterium
Lineage: Bacteria; Bacillati; Bacillota; Clostridia
Description: tRNA-Leu
Rfam family: tRNA
About the family: Transfer RNA (tRNA) molecules are approximately 80 nucleotides in length. Their secondary structure includes four short double-helical elements and three loops (D, anti-codon, and T loops). Further hydrogen bonds mediate the characteristic L-shaped molecular structure. tRNAs have two regions of fundamental functional importance: the anti-codon, which is responsible for specific mRNA codon recognition, and the 3' end, to which the tRNAs corresponding amino acid is attached (by aminoacyl-tRNA synthetases). tRNAs cope with the degeneracy of the genetic code in two manners: having more than one tRNA (with a specific anti-codon) for a particular amino acid; and 'wobble' base-pairing, i.e. permitting non-standard base-pairing at the 3rd anti-codon position.
Source: RNAcentral
GCCGGUGUGGCGGAAUCGGCAGACGCGACGGACUCAAAAUCCGUUGGUAGCGAUAUCGUGCGGGUUCAAGUCCCGCCACCGGCACCA